AUUGAACGCUGGCGGAAUGCUUUACACAUGCAAGUCGAACGGUAGAGGGGGCAACCCCUUGAGAGUGGCGAACGGGUGAGUAAUAUAUCGGAACGUGCCCAGUCGUGGGGGAUAACGUAGCGAAAGUUACGCUAAUACCGCAUACGAUCUAAGGAUGAAAGCGGGGGACUCGCAAGAGCCUCGCGCGAUUGGAGCGGCCGAUAUCAGAUUAGGUAGUUGGUGGGGUAAAGGCUCACCAAGCCAACGAUCUGUAGCUGGUCUGAGAGGACGACCAGCCACACUGGAACUGAGACACGGUCCAGACUCCUACGGGAGGCAGCAGUAGGGAAUAUUGGGCAAUGGGCGGAAGCCUGACCCAGCCAUGCCGCGUGCAGGAUGAAGGCGUUAUGCGUUGUAAACUGCUUUUUAUUAGGAAGAAGGAGGCCUUGCGAGGCUUGGUGACGGUACUAUAAGAAUAAAGCACCGGCUAAACUCCGUG
Molecule: ribosomal RNA, 478 nt
Filed under: uncultured bacterium
Lineage: Bacteria
Description: bacterial SSU rRNA
Rfam family: Bacterial small subunit ribosomal RNA
Source: RNAcentral